Molecule: ribosomal RNA, 453 nt
Filed under: uncultured soil bacterium
Lineage: Bacteria
Description: bacterial SSU rRNA
Rfam family: Bacterial small subunit ribosomal RNA
Source: RNAcentral
GAAUUCGAUUAACGCGAAGAACCUUACCUGGGCUCGAGCGGCUGUGGCAAGUCCUUAGAAAUAGGGAUCCUCCCGCAAGGGAUCGCAGUCGAGGUGCUGCAUGGCUGUCGUCAGCUCGUGUCGUGAGAUGUUGGGUUAAGUCCCGCAACGAGCGCAACCCUUGUCCUGUGUUGCCAUCAUUCAGUUGGGAACUCGCAGGAGACCGCCAGCGAUAAGUUGGAGGAAGGUGGGGAUGACGUCAAGUCCUCAUGGCCUUUAUGUCCAGGGCUACACACGUGCUACAAUGGCCGGUACAAAGCGCAGCAAACCCGCGAGGGAGAGCAAAUCGCAAAAAACCGUUCUCAGUUCGGAUUGCAGGCUGCAACUCGCCUGCAUGAAGCUGGAAUCGCUAGUAAUGGCAUAUCAGAACGAUGCCGUGAAUACGUUCCCGGGCCUUGUCACACCGAAUCACUA